GGGCUGAUUAAAGUCCUGUCGAAAAUCAGAUUUGAAUCUAAUUAAAGGGUCUGAAAUUUUAUUUACGACUAGGCGGAUUGGUCGAGGAGGAAGUAUUCUAGAUCAAGUUCAAGUGGAUAUCUAUAGAGGUUGGACAUAUACGUGACUCCACAGCGAACCUCAGAGAUCAUCAAUCGCAGAGAUCGUCUAUCUGCACACGGUGAUGACACCAUCUUUUAUCUCUUAUGUAUGCUCAUUUUUAUUAUUUAAUAUGCUG
This 256-nucleotide long non-coding RNA is filed under the name Elaeis guineensis (African oil palm). RNAcentral's name for it is "long non-coding RNA (EGUI_LNC009019)". The record is from RNAcentral. Lineage: Eukaryota; Viridiplantae; Streptophyta; Magnoliopsida; Arecales; Arecaceae.